UAGGUACCUACUCGAAAAUCAGCCCUGUUGAUCUGAAGAGUAGCCCAGUCACCAUUUACCUGCAUGGAUCUGAAUUCAGAGACUGUAACUAAGUUUAGCCGAAGAUGUCAGCUUUUAUCUACAGAUCUGGAUGUGGUAUUUUUAUAGCCUUAUCAUUUAGAAGUGAAGACAAGAAAACAAGACCAUACACAUCUUUAAUCCCAGCACUCAGGAGGCAGAAGCAGGUGAAUCUCUGUGAAU
This 240-nucleotide long non-coding RNA is filed under the name Cricetulus griseus (Chinese hamster). RNAcentral describes it as "lncRNA (ENSCGRG00000024177.1)". Lineage: Eukaryota; Metazoa; Chordata; Mammalia; Rodentia; Cricetidae. The record is from RNAcentral.